Molecule: ribosomal RNA, 301 nt
Filed under: uncultured bacterium
Lineage: Bacteria
Description: partial 16S ribosomal RNA
Rfam family: Bacterial small subunit ribosomal RNA
Source: RNAcentral
CAGUCGCCGCGGGAAUACGAAGGGUGCAAGCGUUACUCGGAAUUACUGGGCGCAAAGCGUGCGUAGGUGGUGGUUUAAGUCCGUUGUGAAAGCCCUGGGCUCAACCUGGGAAUUGCAGUGGAUACUGGGUCACUAGAGUGUGGUAGAGGAUAGUGGAAUUUCCGGUGUAGCAGUGAAAUGCGUAGAGAUCGGAAGGAACAUCUGUGGCGAAGGCGACUAUCUGGGCCAACACUGACGCUGAGGCACGAAAGCGUGGGGAGCAAACAGGAUUAGAGACCCCUGUAGUCCCUGUCUCUUAUAC